UUGGGAAGCGGCUGGGCUUGCCCAGGAACGCCGCUUGCAUCAGCCCCGGCCCAGCUGGCACCGCUCGCAGGCAGGUACGUGCCGUGCUGGCAGGCACGAGCCAGCACGCCAGGGUCGGACCUGGGAGAGACACAGCGGGGACACGGGCAUCCCUGGCACCACAGCACAAGGACCUCCAGGAACGGUGGUACAGGCGGUGACCCCACACAAGCAGCUACCAGGACCCAUCCUCGCUCCCCAGCAUUUCAACCCCAGCAUGCCGCAGCUCUCCAGAACAAAGUACACACUCUACCUCUUCAAACCCACCACCAUCUGUCCGUCCGUCUGAGCGUCGCCGCCAGAGCCGCAGCCCCGCCACUCGGAGCGGCCGCCUCCGAGCAGAUGGUGCCAGGGGAAGAAGGGACAAGCCGCUGCCAUGCAGGGCCUCGCCGGCGGCGGGUCACGGUGGCUCCGGUGGCCCUGACCCCACCAUCCUCCCCAGCACGAUGUCAGGAACAAUGGAAUUGGGAAGUCUGGAGGCUUGAUAAAGCUGUCAGAGGAGCGCGCUCGUGUGGCAGCGGGUGCCAAAAGGCGCCAGUGACACCUUCCCCCAGCCAUGUGCUGGGGAGACCCAGUGACCCCCACUGCCCAUGCAGCAUCUGUCCUCCCCGGGAAGGAAAAACGCACGGUGAUGAGGUACAGGCGGCUCUGCAUCCCUGGCAGAUGAUGGGAUGGGGAUGUGGGUACUGGUUUUUGGUGAUGGGAGCAGCUGCCGUGCUGGCAUCCACACCGCUGGGGGACAUGGCAGACCCCAGCCGGUGCGGUGUCACCCCACACCUGCACUGGGGUGGCUUGGUCUCUCCUCUCCUCUCUGUCAGGAAUGCCACAAGGAGCCCCGCCGUGGUGUCGCAUCCACGGUGACUCACGCAGGCGACAGCACGUUCCCCGUCCCCGCCAGACGCCACUUUAGCACCAGCGUGGAUCCAACAGCCUUCCGCACGGUUUACACAUCACCUGCGAAAAGUGCUGAGCUGACAGCUCAAGAACUUGCAGGGACACUGAUGGGGCCGAGGCUCCCAGGUGCCGUCACCUCCUGCCCUUGGAGACUCCAAAGGCCACCCCAUAGGUGACCCCAGCAAGGGGCAGCCCUUGGGCUCUGCUCCCCAGGGAAGGAGCCUGCAGCUUCACCGGCUGGGGCUCUGCACACCCCCACAUCUCAGCUGUCCCCCAGGCUUGGGGACAUCCUUUGGGAACAAGGCUGGGGACAGGGGGGAGCUGGAGGGCUUUCCCGGUUCCCCCACAAGGCAGAGGAUGCCGCACAGCCCAAAGCCAUGGAGCACAAUUAGCCCUGAGUCCCCCCACUGCGAUGGGGACACCACCACAGGGACACCACGGUGCUGACACCACCACAGGGACACACACACCUCCCCCGCAGAGCCCAGGGGGGACCAGAGCGCCCCUGUGGGGCUGGCAUGGUGCGAGCUAAGCCCGGGACUUGUGACCGGCGCGGCCUCGACACAUGUUCCAAUAAAUAUU
This is a long non-coding RNA of Columba livia (rock pigeon), 1515 nucleotides long. RefSeq lists it as uncharacterized. NCBI's taxonomy places the organism in Eukaryota, Metazoa, Chordata, Aves, Columbiformes, Columbidae. The transcript has 3 exons. The record is from RefSeq and is a predicted model, not a curated record.